Molecule: ribosomal RNA, 503 nt
Filed under: uncultured Sphingobacterium sp.
Lineage: Bacteria; Pseudomonadati; Bacteroidota; Sphingobacteriia; Sphingobacteriales; Sphingobacteriaceae
Description: bacterial SSU rRNA
Rfam family: Bacterial small subunit ribosomal RNA
Source: RNAcentral
GAGUUUGAUCGUGGCUCAGGAUGAACGCUAGCGGCAGGCUUAAUACAUGCAAGUCGAGGGGCAGCACAUUAUAGCAAUAUAAGGGUGGCGACCGGCAAACGGGUGCGGAACACGUACGCAACCUUCCUUUAAGCGGGGGAUAGCCCAGAGAAAUUUGGAUUAAUACCCCAUAGAAUAAUUGAAUGGCAUCAUUUGAUUAUUAAAGAUACGUCACUUAAAGAUGGGCGUGCGGCUGAUUAGGUAGUUGGCGGGGUAACGGCCCACCAAGCCUUCGAUCAGUAACUGGUGUGAGAGCAUGACCAGUCACACGGGCACUGAGACACGGGCCCGACUCCUACGGGAGGCAGCAGUAAGGAUAUUGGUCAAUGGACGCAAGUCUGAACCAGCCAUGCCGCGUGGAGGAUGAAGGUCCUCUGGAUUGUAAACUUCUUUUAUCUGGGACGAAAAAGGGUCCUUCUAGAUCAACUGACGGUACCAGAUGAAUAAGCACCGGCUAACUCCGU